AGGGAGGAGAAGGGUUAGGGUAUCGAGGGGGAAGUUCAUGUAGCUUUAUAAGGCCUCGGGAGGCGAGCUUGAGCCACAGGAUCAUGGAGAAAGGGAGAUCGGCGGAGGGGAUGGCGUCGUACAACAGUGACGACAGCGAGGUAGGAGACGGUCGCUUUGUGGGCUAGGUAGCGAGAGAAGAGAGGAGAUGGGCCUUCGAGAGAGAGAGAAG
RNAcentral lists this long non-coding RNA (211 nucleotides) under Hordeum vulgare. Its description in RNAcentral is "long non-coding RNA (HVUL_LNC007307)". Lineage: Eukaryota; Viridiplantae; Streptophyta; Magnoliopsida; Poales; Poaceae. The record is from RNAcentral.